Molecule: ribosomal RNA, 468 nt
Filed under: uncultured bacterium
Lineage: Bacteria
Description: partial 16S ribosomal RNA
Rfam family: Bacterial small subunit ribosomal RNA
Source: RNAcentral
GACGAACGCUGGCGGCGUGCUUAACACAUGCCAGUCGAACGGAAAGGCCCUGCUUUUGUGGGGUGCUCGAGUGGCGAACGGGUGAGUAACACGUGAGUAACCUGCCCUUGACUUUGGGAUAACUUCAGGAAACUGGGGCUAAUACCGGAUAGGAGCUCCUGCUGCAUGGGGGGGGUUGGAAAGUUCCGGCGGUUGGGGAUGGAUUCGCGGCUUAUCAGCUAGAUGGGGGGGUAGUGGCUUACCAAGGUUUUGACGGGUAGGCCGCAUGGGAGGGUGGCCGGCCACCAUGGGCCUACGGUACGGCGCAGUAGCCUACGGGCGGCAACAGUGGGGAAUAUUGCGGAAUGGGGCGGAGCCUGAUGCGGCGACCCCGCGUUCGGGAAGACGGCCUUUUGGGUGUAAACCGCUUUCGCCUUUGACGAAGCGUGAGUGACGGUAAUUGGUCAAGAAGCACCGGCUAACUACGUG